Molecule: long non-coding RNA, 831 nt
Organism: Drosophila mojavensis
Lineage: Eukaryota; Metazoa; Arthropoda; Insecta; Diptera; Drosophilidae
Exons: 3
Source: RefSeq, a predicted model, not a curated record
CGCGCCGGCCACAUGAUGGACCCGGACCUGGGUGCAUUGCACGGCUGCGUGGUCCAAGGGGAACAUCACCAGCAUAUCGCAGCAAUGACAAUUUGGAGGCCACACGAAGGCCGCGGUUCACAAUUGGAAUGGCAUUUCCUGUUGCCACAAAAUCAAACUUUUACUUGCUGCCUGGAUCAUUGAUUGGAUUACUCAGUCCGAUAUCUGCAGCCGAAUUCACGGGUUCCGAAAGUGUGAGUGCGAGUAUGUCUAAUAAGUGGUUUUUAUCACAGUUGACAAUGUUAACUUCAAAAACUGAAAACAACCAAGUCCAGUGAGUGCAAAAGGAAUGGAGAUGAUCGAUACGAGAAUAUACGAAAGGCCUCUUGAUGUUCGACUUGUAGCUAGAAAGGAUAGUCGAUGGAAAAUAUAAAUUAACUCACUUGCAAAAUCUUGUACGAAGCCGGCACUUAGCUUCACUUCUCAGAAAAUAAUUAUUACCUCCAUUUGUAGUAUAUUUUAUGUUAUAUUUAAUAACAUUUGUUUGGCUUUUUUUUCUCUUUUUUUCAAAAUAAAGAAAUUAUUUGCAUUUGUUUAGCAAUUUAGUUGGAGGGUAUCUAUGGAGCCAAAAACCAAAUCCUACAAAUAGUACUUUUCUAUAUUCAUAUCCAUAUACAUUUCUGAUUUGGUACCAAUUUAUAUAUAAAUAUGUAUUAUUCCAAAUAUAUAAUCUCAUUUAAAUUUAUUACUGAAAACGUCUUGAUAUUUGGACUAAUUUAAGCAGGAUUUCUUUGGCUUCGACCUAAAUAUUACCAGUCCAUGCAGCUUUUAAGAGUCGAUCGGAUAGCAACA